Molecule: long non-coding RNA, 488 nt
Filed under: Prunus persica (peach)
Lineage: Eukaryota; Viridiplantae; Streptophyta; Magnoliopsida; Rosales; Rosaceae
Description: long non-coding RNA (PPER_LNC001051)
Source: RNAcentral
ACGUUUGUGAACAAAGUCAUAACCGAAACCAAAAUUUAGGGUUUUUUUAGGCCUUGAAGGAGCAGAGGAGAAGAGACCGACGUCGAUUCAAGACUCGAAACUAGAGGGAACUGAGACACCGUCAAGAACCCCCUCACCAAACCCUAACAUUGCCUGCAGAGAGAGAACGACAGAGUGCUGCUUAGGUUUUCGUGACAGCGGGAGAAAUAGAGUGGUGGUGGUCGAUGGACACAGAAACUGCCGAGAGAGGAAGAGAACCGUGACAGCGGGAGAAAUAGAGUGGUGGUGGUCGAUGGACACAUAAACCGCCGAGAGAGGAAGAGAACCGUGACAGAGAGCUGAGAAAGGGAGAGAAGCCAGAAGCGUUAGGUCGGCAAUCAAAGGCCAAUAACUCCCCAAUACAUGUGCUUUUAUAUGGAGGGCAGUUUGGUCAUUUCACGUUCACAAGUGAUUAUAUCAGAACACAAUUUGUAACCUGAUCAUUUCAG